AGUGAACGCUGGCGGCAGGCCUAACACAUGCAAGUCGAGCGGCAGCGGGUUCCCGCGAGGGGAUGCCGGCGAGCGGCGGACGGGUGAGGAACACAUCGGAAUCUGCCUGGUUGUGGGGGAUAACGUAGGGAAACUUACGCUAAUACCGCAUGCGACCCUGAGUCGACGGACUGGGGGUGAAAGUGAGGGACCUUCGGGCCUCACGCGACCAGAUGAGCCGAUGUCGGAUAGCUAGUUGGCGGGUAACGGCCCGCCAAGGCGACGAUCCGUAGCUGGUCUGAGAGGAUGAUCAGCCACACUGGGACUGAGACACGGCCCAGACUCCUACGGGAGGCAGCAGUGGGGAAUCUUGGACAAUGGGCGCAAGCCUGAUCCAGCCAUGCCGCGUGGGUGAAGGAA
This 399-nucleotide ribosomal RNA is filed under the name uncultured bacterium. Its description in RNAcentral is "bacterial SSU rRNA". It matches the Rfam family "Bacterial small subunit ribosomal RNA", at positions 30 to 413 of the family's 1533-position model. The record is from RNAcentral.